GAAAAACAAAUAAGCACAUAAAAGGGAAAAGACAGGAGGAAGUAAAAGAUUUAAACCAUUGGGCCCAAAUCAACGAAACCUGUCCUAAUCUAAUUUAGGCUUUCGACCCAUUUUUCACCUGUCCUAAUCUAUGUUUUCGAGCCUUUUUGGCCCAAAAUCCACUUCACCUGUAUUAAAUUUACAUCUUUGGCUUCGAGGCCCGAAAUGAAUAAAAAUAAAUAAAUGAAGGCAACAAUGAAUGUGAGACUUUCAAGUCUCCUUUGCCGCUUCAAGGAUAGGACUUUAGCCCAUUUCUUCUUCUUUCGCCUCCUUGUAUUCGGUAUGCCAUAAGAUUGAUAUUUGGACUUAGUCUUUCAAAAUCGACUCAGGGUUAUUAGGCCUCGAUGGCCCACAAUAGACAUGCAUAGGAAAAGGAGUCUAUGUAGGACUCGAACGUAUCCACAUGCAAAAGAAAAGCAAACUAAUUAACAUAUGUUCAAAUGUUACCUAACACAUAAAUAACGACAUGAAAAGAGAACAUUUUUAUGCAAAAAUGAAAAUAAUAUUAGCAUGAUUUACAUAAAAGAGAUCAUAUCGGUUUACUAAUCCCUUUUUCUCUUUUUUUUCGGGAAGGUAUCAUAUUAAGUUCUCCUGACUAAAACAUAUACUUCAAACAUUUAUCAAAGAGAUCAGUGGAAAACGUGGCUUAAUAUCAGUAAAGAAAAAACUUUAAGAUUUUUAGCCCUAUGAACCAAAAUUAGGCCAAGAUAGAGAAAUAUUAAUGAACGACCAACCUAAGCGACACAAAAUGAACUUAGAAACUUUAUUUUUUGCAAAUAAAUAAGACAAGAGACUAUUAUCGAACUUAAAUGACAUUUGAAUAUAAGUCCAACAUUACUAAUCAAGAGAAACAUACAAUCAGUGACAGGCCAAAAUAGGCAAGAUCAAAGUUUAUAUCUAAAAGAGAAAGGAAAAUUCGUCAUAAUUGGUAAAUCCAAAACAAGCCAAAAAAGGGAACAAAUAGUAGAUCAACAAAGAUAAGGAAAUUAUGCUUCCAAGAAUAUUGGGGAAGUGUACAGUAAUACAAACAGAGAGAAAAAUAAGCAGGAAGAACCGAACAUUUUCUAUCGCAACAUAUAAUUCAGCGGAUUUGAAAUGCCUAAGUAGUCUUAAUUAUGAUGAAGAGAUAGACCAUAUUUUACACAAUUAACAUACAAAGAUGCACACGACUAGCAAUCUUCAAGUUGAAUAUACUACAAACUCAGGAUCAUCCUCUCUUUGACCAACUCGAACUGAACUGUCAAGGGUCGAAGAAAAGAUCUUUGAAGGUUUAUAGGAUUAUCGAUCUUACCAAGGACAUUCACCCACUAUUCUAUGGACUUUAAAGGUCAAAAGAAUUAGGAGGCAGCCCGUUAUCUAGUCAAUACAGCAGAUUCUAGGCCAUCAGUAACAUCGAACUAGAAACAAAAUUAUCAAAAUGAAACCAAAACUUACUCUAAGAUGACAUAACGAGACUAAAACAUGGAUAUUUAGCUAAAGAGAUAGAAAAUCAGACUACAAUAUUGGAGUAUAAAAGUGUCAUGUCGGCAAUUAAUAAAAUCUAGCAUUACAGUGAUUUCAGAAGCGAAUAUGACAUCCCUUCGUCAUUAUAAUUUAGCAUAUAGGAGAGAACAAGCAAUGACACACUCGAAAAGAAUGAAAUAGUCGGAACAGCUACCAAGAAAGGACUUUAAAUCAAACACAACAAGCUUUAGCAAGAUUCGAACCCAAAAAAUGCAACAGAAGGCUUUUAGCCCAAAAUAUGAGUUAAAGAUGACUAAACAAGCGAGUGUCAUAUAUAUGUAAGAGAAAACAACACAAAAACAUGGUUCAAGCUGCAUAACAGACCAUAAGCUAAAGAAAAAGAAAUUUUGCACCAAUACGCGGGUAAAGCAGUGUAUACCAUUGAACUACUAUAAAAAUCCUAUUACUAGCAUUAUCAAAUGAUUGCAGCAACGUAUUGAUUUGAGAAGAAAACCAUGUAAUAAUAAUUAUUACUGACAAACUAUACAGCCAUUAAAGGCAUCUACAACAGCUAAUUCCCAGCAUAGAAAAUUAUCGUAAAUAUCAUUAUAUCUACAGAAUGGCGAGAUAAAGAAGAAAUAAACGAAACUAAAUAGAAUGGAGAGUUACCGGUUUCGGAGCAGCAAAAUAGAACCUCGAGCUCCUUCGGAGUUCACCACCACCGGAAAAUUCAAUGCUGCUACGAAAAUAUUUACUAGCCGACUACUAUUCCUUCAAAUUUUACUGAAGAAAAUUCUCUUCUAUACUUGCGACCAAUUUUUUUUCCCUUUUUUUGUGUGUUUCUGCUUUUUGAAAAAAAUUUCCACAUUCUUUUCUUUCUCCAAAAGGAUCUAUAUAUAGAGAACAGAGACCCCCUCCCAAAUAUUGCUCCAUCGAUGUGGGAUAAAGUGAUUCAAGGGAAAAUUAGGGAAUUUUUCAAAAGGGAAUUCAAAAUUUGAACUCAAGAUAAGAUUACCCCUCACAAAUUAUACCAAUUUUGUGGUUUCUUGAGGGAAUUCAAUGGGGGUUUACCAAUGGAAUUUGGGGAAAAUUGAAUCCUCCCUCAAAUCAAUAAAAAAUGCCCAAAUAUGUACCAAAUUCGUACCAUUAUCCCGAGAUUUGCGGAGUUAGCCAUUUGGGGGAGACGCCUGAGCACUUCUAGAGAGUUCUUAGCAUCUUUCUCGUACAAAUCAGCUGAGAUGCCUGAUGAAGAUGAAAAAGAAACGGGUUGGGGUCGGGUUUCGCCGUUGGAUGCGAGUCGGAGACGGGUCGAUGGUUUGCUGGAGUUGUACGCCAUUUUUAACUGUUGUUGUCUUUUUUGCGUAUUGUACGCAGCUAUUGCUGUUGUACGCUGAUGGGAUUUUUUUUUGGCUGAAGCUGUUGUUGUUAAAGAAAAAACUGGCCGGGUCAGGGGGUUUUGGAGUUGGGCUGGGCAGUGGUGUGUGCUGAAAUUAAAAGGAGAAAAAAAAAUGGGCUGAUGGGUUUAGGAAAUUAGAAGGAUUGGUUUUGGAGUAAUUGAAGAGUGGGCUUCCAGGUGUUGGGCCGCUGGGCUGGCAGAAUUGGGUUGUGAUUGGGCCCAUUUAACUGUUGGGCCUAUUUAAAGGGGAAAUAAAGGCUGGUGAUGCUUUUUGUUAAAAUUGUUGGGUUAUUUUUUGGUAGAUUAGGGAUUUAGGUAAUUUUUUGGGUGUUAAUUUAGAAAAUAACCCCAACUAGAUUUGGGGUUAUUCAAAAAAUAAUUUCAAUUCUAAUUUAGCCUAUUCUAUUUAAAUUUUGAUCAAACUAAAAGUCAAUCGGCCAAUUGCAUUGCAAUUGUAAUUUAGUUUCAAUUAUAAUCGAAUUUAAUAGAUUAUUUAAAUUAAAAUGAAGUUCGAUAGGAAUUAACUCCUCAUUUAAUCCCGAGCUUCUUGAUUUAAUAAAAUCAAACACAUAUUUAUCCAAAUAAAUUAUCUUUAAGAAUAAAUUAUAUUUAAAUUAAGAUUUUAAUUCUUUGAAUUUAUUUCCAAGCUCAGUCUCAAUAAAAGUCCAAUUUUGAUGAAAAUAUUGAUUUAAAUAACAUCAUUUAUACAAUCUCGUAUAUGUAAAUACAAAAAUAUAAUUAUCACUUAAAUGACAAAUUUAGCCCAAAUAAAUAUUUUUAAAAUGCAUUUAUUUGAAAAAAAUCCAAACCCC
Molecule: long non-coding RNA, 3690 nt
Filed under: Capsicum annuum
Lineage: Eukaryota; Viridiplantae; Streptophyta; Magnoliopsida; Solanales; Solanaceae
Description: long non-coding RNA (CANN_LNC000262)
Source: RNAcentral